This 460-nucleotide ribosomal RNA is filed under the name uncultured bacterium. RNAcentral's name for it is "partial 16S ribosomal RNA". It matches the Rfam family "Bacterial small subunit ribosomal RNA", at positions 338 to 795 of the family's 1533-position model. The record is from RNAcentral.
CCUACGGGGGGCAGCAGUGAGGAAUAUUGGUCAAUGGACGAGAGUCUGAACCAGCCAAGUAGCGUGAAGGAUGACUGCCCUAUGGGUUGUAAACUUCUUUUAUAUGGGAAUAAAAUGUUCCACGUGUGGGAUUUUGUAUGUACCAUGUGAAUAAGGAUCGGCUAACUCCGUGCCAGCAGCCGCGGUAAUACGGAGGAUCCGAGCGUUAUCCGGAUUUAUUGGGUUUAAAGGGAGCGUAGGUGGAUUGUUAAGUCAGUUGUGAAAGUUUGCGGCUCAACCGUAAAAUUGCAGUUGAAACUGGCAGUCUUGAGUACAGUAGAGGUGGGCGGAAUUCGUGGUGUAGCGGUGAAAUGCUUAGAUAUCACGAAGAACUCCGAUUGCGAAGGCAGUUCACUGGACUGCAACUGACACUGAGGCUCGAAAGUGUGGGUAUCAAACAGGAUUAGAUACCCGAGUAGUC